This 68-nucleotide small nucleolar RNA is filed under the name Gouania willdenowi (blunt-snouted clingfish). The record is from RNAcentral. Lineage: Eukaryota; Metazoa; Chordata; Actinopteri; Blenniiformes; Gobiesocidae.
UUUCCAUGAUGAUACUUUGUCCAGUUCUGCUACUGAGUGCAAGUGGUGAUAAUUAAGACCCUGAGAAA